Oncorhynchus tshawytscha (Chinook salmon) is the source of this 1058-nucleotide long non-coding RNA. NCBI's taxonomy places the organism in Eukaryota, Metazoa, Chordata, Actinopteri, Salmoniformes, Salmonidae. The record is from Ensembl.
UUUGUCUGAAAAUAAAAUAUGAUCCUCAACUACGUUUCCCCUCCAGUCAGCAGACGCGAUGUGCGUCUUUCAGGCGAUGCUGCCAGCGUGACGUAUAGUCUAGUGGACGGUUCUUCAGAAACAGCUCGUCAAGCACCUCCGUAGCUUGCUAGCGAACAUAGUCGAAAGAUUCAAGCUAUUUAUACGCUUUCGUUGUAUAUUAGCUACUGUGUUUUAUACACACUUCUAUCGUAUCUACUCGUUAACCCAUUUAAUUUAAUAUGACGUUAUUUUGUAUUAGUCAGAUAUAGUAGCUGGCUGGUUAAGUUAGCACUAGCCUAGUCGCUAAUGAUAGCUAGCUAGCUAACAUCCCAGAACAUGAGCUCCCUAAACUACUCUCCUGCUAAAGAAGAGGAGGUCUGCUGGACGGAGAAAGAAGCUCUGGGGCUGAACAUUGUCGUGAAAGAGGAGAAGGAAGAGGAGGAUGUCACAGUAAAACAAGUAGAGGGUGAGGCUGUUAGAGUGAAAGAAGAGGAUGUCGUUUUUGGUGUGAAAAAGAGGUUGGAGAUCUGUUUAACACCAGAGAGAGACGUGACUAUAGUGGAUCCUCUGGGGAGCUUCAACAACAUCAUGAUGCUGACGAGGCAGAGAAGAGUCUCCAGAUCAGGACACCUCAAGAAACCCCAGCAGAGACCCACAGGGAAGAAAUCUCACCACUGCUCUGACUCCCUGCGACAAAAGGACCAGCUGACAUCAUGUCAGUGAUUCUCUCGUUAACACAGGUGUGAGUGUUGAGGAGGACAAGGCUGGAGAUCACUCUGUCAUGCUGAUUGAGUUUGAAUAACAGACUGGAAACUUCAAAAGGAGGGAGGUGCUUGGAAUCAUUGUUCCACAGAGUCUAUAAAAGGCAAAGAUCAUUUAAUAAUAGAAGUGAUGUCACAACAAUAUGAAUAUGAGAAAUCCUGAUAACAAUGCAGAUAUCUCACCUGAAGUUGUUGUUUCUUCUUGUAAUCCUGAUAAUAAUGCAGAUAUCUCACCUCUAGUUGUUGUUUCUUCUUGUAAUCCUGAUAAUAAUGCAG